This is a non-coding RNA of Podarcis lilfordi (Lilford's wall lizard), 106 nucleotides long. NCBI's taxonomy places the organism in Eukaryota, Metazoa, Chordata, Lepidosauria, Squamata, Lacertidae. The record is from the annotation of a GenBank genome assembly.
AAUUAAGUUUGUUACUGGUAUGAGCUUUCGUGUGCAUGAACACUUCUGAUGUAUCUGAAGAAGUGUGUAUGCACAUGAAAGCUCAUACCAAUAACAAACUUAGCUG